RNAcentral lists this ribosomal RNA (214 nucleotides) under uncultured bacterium. RNAcentral describes it as "partial 16S ribosomal RNA". It matches the Rfam family "Bacterial small subunit ribosomal RNA", at positions 1285 to 1500 of the family's 1533-position model. The record is from RNAcentral.
GUCUCAGUUCAGACUGCAGGCUGCAACUCGCCUGCACGAAGUCGGAAUUGCUAGUAAUCGCGGAUCAGAAUGCCGCGGUGAAUACGUUCCCGGGCCUUGUACACACCGCCCGUCACACCAUGGGAGUCGGUAACACCCGAAGCCGAUAGUCUAACGAAAGAGGACGUCGUCGAAGGUGGGAUUGAUGACUGGGGUGAAGUCGUAACAAGGUAGC